This 477-nucleotide ribosomal RNA is filed under the name Streptococcus mitis. RNAcentral's name for it is "bacterial SSU rRNA". It matches the Rfam family "Bacterial small subunit ribosomal RNA", at positions 28 to 489 of the family's 1533-position model. The record is from RNAcentral. Lineage: Bacteria; Bacillati; Bacillota; Bacilli; Lactobacillales; Streptococcaceae.
GACGAACGCUGGCGGCGUGCCUAAUACAUGCAAGUAGAACGCUGAAGGAGGAGCUUGCUUCUCCGGAUGAGUUGCGAACGGGUGAGUAACGCGUAGGUAACCUGCCUGGUAGCGGGGGAUAACUAUUGGAAACGAUAGCUAAUACCGCAUAAGAGUAGAUGUUGCAUGACAUUUGCUUAAAAGGUGCAAUUGCAUCACUACCAGAUGGACCUGCGUUGUAUUAGCUAGUUGGUGGGGUAACGGCUCACCAAGGCGGCGAUACAUAGCCGACCUGAGAGGGUGAUCGGCCACACUGGGACUGAGACACGGCCCAGACUCCUACGGGAGGCAGCAGUAGGGAAUCUUCGGCAAUGGACGGAAGUCUGACCGAGCAACGCCGCGUGAGUGAAGAAGGUUUUCGGAUCGUAAAGCUCUGUUGUAAGAGAAGAACGAGUGUGAGAGUGGAAAGUUCACACUGUGACUGGUAUCUACCAGAAA